This 462-nucleotide ribosomal RNA is filed under the name uncultured bacterium. RNAcentral describes it as "partial 16S ribosomal RNA". It matches the Rfam family "Bacterial small subunit ribosomal RNA", at positions 28 to 507 of the family's 1533-position model. The record is from RNAcentral.
GACGAACGCUGGCGGCGUGCUUAACACAUGCAAGUCGAACGGAAAGGCCCUUCGGGGUACUCGAGUGGCGAACGGGUGAGUAACACGUGGGUGAUCUGCCCUGCACUUUGGGAUAAGCCUGGGAAACUGGGUCUAAUACCGAAUAGGACCACGCGCUUCAUGGUGUGUGGUGGAAAGCUUUUGCGGUGUGGGAUGGGCCCGCGGCCUAUCAGCUUGUUGGUGGGGUAAUGGCCUACCAAGGCGACGACGGGUAGCCGGCCUGAGAGGGUGACCGGCCACACUGGGACUGAGAUACGGCCCAGACUCCUACGGGAGGCAGCAGUGGGGAAUAUUGCACAAUGGGCGCAAGCCUGAUGCAGCGACGCCGCGUGAGGGAUGACGGCCUUCGGGUUGUAAACCUAUUUCACCAGGGACGAAGCGUAAGUGACGGUACCUGGAGAAGAAGCACCGGCCAACUACGUG